CAGCAGCCACGGGAAUACGUAGGGUGCAAGCGUUAAUCGGAAUUACUGGGCGUAAAGCGUGCGCAGGCGGUUUGUUAAGACAGAUGUGAAAUCCCCGGGCUCAACCUGGGAACUGCAUUUGUGACUGGCAAGCUAGAGUCUGGCAGAGGGGGGUGGAAUUCCGCGUGUAGCAGUGAAAUGCGUAGAUAUGCGGAGGAACACCGAUGGCGAAGGCAGCCCCCUGGGCCAACACUGACGCUCAUGCACGAAAGCGUGGGGAGCAAACAGGAUUAGAGACCCCCGUAGUCCCUGUCUCUUAUAA
Molecule: ribosomal RNA, 301 nt
Filed under: uncultured bacterium
Lineage: Bacteria
Description: partial 16S ribosomal RNA
Rfam family: Bacterial small subunit ribosomal RNA
Source: RNAcentral